ACUCCUACGGGAGGCAGCAGUGGGGAAUAUUGCACAAUGGGCGCAAGCCUGAUGCAGCCAUGCCGAGUGUGUGAAGAAGGCCUUCGGGUUGUAAAGCACUUUCAGUUGUGAGGAAGGUGGUGUCGUUAAUAGCGGCAUCAUUUGACGUUAGCAACAGAAGAAGCACCGGCUAACUCCGUGCCAGCAGCCGCGGUAAUACGGAGGGUGCGAGCGUUAAUCGGAAUUACUGGGCGUAAAGCGCAUGCAGGUGGUUUGUUAAGUCAGAUGUGAAAGCCCGGGGCUCAACCUCGGAACUGCAUUUGAAACUGGCAGACUAGAGUACUGUAGAGGGGGGUAGAAUUUCAGGUGUAGCGGUGAAAUGCGUAGAGAUCUGAAGGAAUACCGGUGGCGAAGGCGGCCCCCUGGACAGAUACUGACACUCAGAUGCGAAAGCGUGGGGAGCAAACAGGAUUAGAUACCCGU
RNAcentral lists this ribosomal RNA (462 nucleotides) under uncultured bacterium. RNAcentral describes it as "bacterial SSU rRNA". It matches the Rfam family "Bacterial small subunit ribosomal RNA", at positions 335 to 789 of the family's 1533-position model. The record is from RNAcentral.